UUCAGGCUGUUUAGAGUGGCUGCUAUCAUUUGUUACUACUGCCAUAGGUGAACCUGCUAUCUGAUAUUGACAUUUCCCCAUCUGAACAUUGACAUGAGGUUUCUCUUAAAAACAUUUUUUCUUGGAAUCUACUGGUAUUGAAGUUAAACAAGGUGUGGCUGCUUUGUAGUGAGGUGGGUUGGUGUGGGUAUUUCUGUAGAAAUGCUUCACAGUCUGCACUAACCAGGAGUGCAAAAUCGGUAUUUAUGUAUCUGUCCACUGAUGUGCAAUGACUGCUACACAGGGCAGUCACUGCCCAACCCAGAUCUAGUAAGAAAAAUGUGACAAGGUUGCAUGUGCUGUGCAUUUGUGAGAGAACUGUCCUUGAAACCUGGUUCAAACAUGAUUCACCCUCAAAGGAGUCAAAGUCCUAGUUCAGCACAUUCAGGUAUCAGUCACUGUGAUCACUCAGUCCAGCACUGUGUAUGUGACACAGGUUAGUCCACCCCUCCUAUGAGUCCCAGCAGACAUCUCCAAAAGAAGUCACCAGUCUGAAGUCCAGAAACAUGGAUCAUCAGGUGAGAUGCUCUGAAUAACAGAGAUAAUGAACCUUAAGCCUUCAGCCUUCCCAUUUGUUUUUAUGGAGAUAAAUUCAGACUGAGGGACAGCACGAAUAAACGUUCCUCCAUGAAGUUUAGGCUUGAAUAGAUCUUCUCAAAGACCCACUGGCUCAAUCUCCUCCUAG
Molecule: long non-coding RNA, 724 nt
Organism: Poecile atricapillus (Black-capped chickadee)
Lineage: Eukaryota; Metazoa; Chordata; Aves; Passeriformes; Paridae
Exons: 4
Source: RefSeq, a predicted model, not a curated record